UAUAUGUAGAUGUAAUUACAUGAUGAUAUCCAACUGAACACUGGUUUCUCCUUUAGAACAUUUAUGCACUGCUGACAAGCAAGCCAGAGAAAGAGCACAGAUUGCUUUUGUCUGUGCUCUUGCUCGGUGGCUUUUCCUUCAGCGAUUGCCUAGGCCUCCCUCCUAGCUUUUGUCUCUUGGUGGCACUUCAACAACCAUCUCAAUAUGCUUGUGGAUGCCUUUCCUGCUCUCUUAAGUUCUCAAAGGAAUUUGGUGUUGCAGAAUGAGUCAGUUGAAGAUGUUUAACAUUUUAAGAUAUUUUAGAAGAGACUGACAAUGAAGCUAGUGCUGCUUCAAGGAGAGAAGAAAACGAUGACAUAACUGUUAAUGGAAGCAUUGAUGAUGCCAACUCUGAUGAUGAAUCUUCAGCAGAUC
Long non-coding RNA from Mangifera indica (mango), 414 nucleotides. RefSeq lists it as uncharacterized. The transcript has 3 exons. Lineage: Eukaryota; Viridiplantae; Streptophyta; Magnoliopsida; Sapindales; Anacardiaceae. The record is from RefSeq and is a predicted model, not a curated record.